AUAGUAAUUUGCAUACCCUGAAAGAUUCAACGACUGGCGAUCUUGGGCACCCAUGUUUGAUUUAUGAAUUGUGCAGAAAGGGAGACGUUAUAACAUUCUCAUUGGAAGAGGUGGUGCAUCCUAAACCACCCAUCACUAGGAGUUGGGCUUGGAAGUUCAUGAGUCGGCAGGGCUCCACUAGUACCACACCCUCGGGAGCGGAGACAAGACCAGCUCAAUCACGUAGACCCCGCUCGUCUAGUGACCCGAGCAAUGACCUCGCUGCCCAGUUAUGCGGGAUGUAAUUGCAAAUGAAUACGCUGCAGAAUGUCAUGUAUGAGCAGUUCCGUUACCAAAAUGAGUUUAAUGCAGUUUUGGGCUCUAUCUACUCGGAUAGGACUUUUCCUCAACCACCGCUACUUCCCGAUCACAACUCCGACCCGCCUCACCGUGACAUUGACAGCGACGGAGACACUUGAUAUCUCCGCUCAGUUACGUCCUCUUCCUUUCUCUUUUUCUUAACAUUGGGGACAAUGUUUGGUUCAAGUUUG
This 530-nucleotide long non-coding RNA is filed under the name Olea europaea (common olive). RNAcentral's name for it is "long non-coding RNA (OEUR_LNC002320)". The record is from RNAcentral. Lineage: Eukaryota; Viridiplantae; Streptophyta; Magnoliopsida; Lamiales; Oleaceae.